AUUGAACGCUGGCGGCAGGCCUAACACAUGCAAGUCGAACGGUAACAGGAAGCAGCUUGCUGCUUUGCUGACGAGUGGCGGACGGGUGAGUAAUGUCUGGGAAACUGCCCGAUGGAGGGGGAUAACUACUGGAAACGGUAGCUAAUACCGCAUAACGUCGCAAGACCAAAGAGGGGGACCUUAGGGCCUCUUGCCAUCGGAUGUGCCCAGAUGGGAUUAGCUAGUAGGUGGGGUAACGGCUCACCUAGGCGACGAUCCCUAGCUGGUCUGAGAGGAUGACCAGCCACACUGGAACUGAGACACGGUCCAGACUCCUACGGGAGGCAGCAGUGGGGAAUAUUGCACAAUGGGCGCAAGCCUGAUGCAGCCAUGCCGCGUGUAUGAAGAAGGCCUUCGGGUUGUAAAGGACUUUCAGCGGGGAGGAAGGGAGUAAAGUUAAUACCUUUGCUCAUUGACGUUACCCGCAGAAGAAGCACCGGCUAACUCCG
Molecule: ribosomal RNA, 488 nt
Filed under: uncultured bacterium
Lineage: Bacteria
Description: partial 16S ribosomal RNA
Rfam family: Bacterial small subunit ribosomal RNA
Source: RNAcentral